CCAGGAUCCACCCCUUCCAAGACCUUAUUUAAGGAUUGGAAGUGAAGGUGAGGGUAUUUUUUUGGAGAUCCCUGCCUACCUGAGACUUUGUAAAGGCAGAGUUGCAUUGGGCUGACUAAGGCACGUCUCCGUCCUUGCAGAGUUCAAGAACUGUUAAGACAAUGAUCAACACAACAUAACUUCCAGGAUCCCUUUUGUGUUGCACAUAUAUCUCUUGAAUGCUGAACGAAGGGUAAAAUAACUCUUUUUUCCUUCAGAAAGAGGAAUGCAGGAGGGAGAUGCACAGAACAACACAUGAGGUUGUGUUGCUGAGCCCAGUCUGGGCUGCAGUGAGGAAGAGGCACGAGCCUGCUCCCCACUGCAUGCCUGGGGAUGCAGACACAGUUGGCCAUUAGCACCCCGAAAGAGAAAAUCUAGACAGAAAGGUGCAUAGGAGAUUUGAUGAGUGAGCAAAGUGCCAGUGGAAGAUGGGAUAAUUGUGGUGCACUUUGUGGGCCCGACCUCCAGAGAAGGCAGGCUGGCAUGUGGGAGCAGCUGUGCCUCCCAGUGUCACACAGAGUCCAGAAAGUGGUUUGACCUGAUUUUUGGAAGGAGCAGGAAGAAGCUGCUUGACAACCCCUACAAAAUAUUUAGCUGAACACAACAAACAAGCCUGAGGACAGGCAAACAAACAGUGAAUUAAUUUAUGGGAUUUUAAUGAUGGAAGAAAGGCCCAUUAAAUCCAGGAAAUAGCACAUAUGGAAGCAGCUCAAGACCGUGGAAACCAAGCAAGAAAUAGCUGUGUGGGGAAGGCACGCAAACAGCUGGGCAGGGUGCUGUCAGAAUGCCUGCUGUGCUCGGCAGCCUGGCAGAGCUUGAUGCUGUGUUUUGACUCUUGCUCCAAGUUCAGCCUGGAGGAAGUGUGCAAUGGAGAAAUAGAGGCAGUGUGCAACUAGCUGGUACUUCUCAUGCACUUCCAGGCUUGACAUCAGAACCCAGGGAGACCACCUGGUUCCUGCAGCACAGGAGCGUACUUCUGAUCCUACAGGCUUUCAGUGAUUGAUUCUGUAAGACAGAAGUAGGAGGAGAUGUUCCCAGGCAGAGUCCAUGUUUCCAUGAUCUCUAUGUGGCCUUUUUUGUUGGCAACAUCAGCCCAAGGCAUGUUAGAGCAAAGGCAAUUCAUCAGAUAUGCUGCCACCUCCCCUGCUCUCCUGUAUUUACCUGAAGCUUCGGGAAGCCCUCCCUGCUUUCAGGCCGGCCCUGAGCUUUCUCCAUCAAAGCCUGAAUGUAUGUGAUGAGUUGCAGUGAGGAGAGAUGACACAGGAGUGCCUGGAGAGGCCAGCUCUGUUCAUCUCAGCUGAGCCCAUGUGAGGAACCUGCUGAAUGCAGGUGAGGAGCAUGCACAGAGGAACCAGUACAGAAUAAAUGCACACCUGGUGUGCUCAAUAGUGUAAUGCUUCCUGACCUCCCUGUGCAGGCGAGGCCUCAGCUUCUCCACAGAUCCUCAAGAUUGCAGAGACAAAAUGUUCAGCUUUUGCUCUUGAUUUUGAUUCAGCUCUGUGUUUGUCUUUGUGAAAGUGGUGCUCGUCUGCCUGCCUCUGUACCAUAUACCUGCAGGAGCCAGUGAAGGACUAGAAGCAGGUUACUCCUACUGCUGUCACAGCUUUAAGGGGAAAUACAACUUUAAUCAGCUGGACUAUCAAGCUCCUGCAGUCAUUCACUCAAUUUAUGAAGUUGCAGCAAAUCCGGCUUUGAUUUGACUUGUCUGGCUUACCCCUAUUCCUUACUUGCUCUACCUUACAGAUCCCUUUUUUUGCUUUUUAUUUCUGUUUCACUUUUUCAAAAGGUGCUGACUUCCUUGUUCAAAAUGUGCCUAGGCUCGGCAGCCAGGUGUGCAGCAGAGGACCUUGAACACUGGGUGAUGCAGUCGUUAUCUCCCUGCUGCAACCAUUUCUGUUUUUCCUAUCUCCCUCACAGCACACACAUGAGUCAGCCAUCUCUGUCCAGGCCAAACCUCAAAUAAUAUCCUUUUCCAAACUGCAGGACCUUGGAAAGUGAGGUGAUAAAAAGCCCACAAGAAAUUCUUUAUUAGUACUUGGGAAGGACAGCAAUGGAAUUUUGACAGAAAUACUGUUUGAAUAGAAAUGUAACCUUCCAAAAGGGUAUUUUUUACUGUGUCAUUCUGAAAAACUGGAUGUCUCCUUGGAAGAUAAGUGAAGGCUCCAUUAGCACUCACCCUGAGGAGUGGAGAUAUGUUUCUUAUUCUUAUGACAGUGAGUUCUAAGAGGAUGCCCAAAUAAUAAAAAAUAGCUGCAAGGAUAAGACCAUCUUAAAGCACUAGUUCUCAGCAGUCCAAGGUCUGCCGGGAAGGAUAGUGAUGAGUCCUAUGGGAUAUGCAAUGAGCCCAGUCAAAUCUCUCGUUUGAAGGAAAAGCAGGGACCUACAAGGGAUGGAAAAAGUCUGAUCAUCAAAGAAAGCAAUGUCUUAGAGCUCAGGGAUGAAGGGAGGACUGCCAAAAGCCAAACUGAACUUGACCUUGCAAAGGAAAUUAGAAUAAUAGUA
This is a long non-coding RNA of Lagopus muta (rock ptarmigan), 2541 nucleotides long. RefSeq lists it as uncharacterized. NCBI's taxonomy places the organism in Eukaryota, Metazoa, Chordata, Aves, Galliformes, Phasianidae. The record is from RefSeq and is a predicted model, not a curated record. The transcript has 3 exons.